This 23-nucleotide microRNA is filed under the name Monopterus albus (swamp eel). Its description in RNAcentral is "Mal-Mir-458_3p (mature (guide))". Lineage: Eukaryota; Metazoa; Chordata; Actinopteri; Synbranchiformes; Synbranchidae. The record is from RNAcentral.
AUAGCUCUUUUAAAUGGUACUGC